Molecule: ribosomal RNA, 270 nt
Filed under: uncultured soil bacterium
Lineage: Bacteria
Description: partial 16S ribosomal RNA
Rfam family: Bacterial small subunit ribosomal RNA
Source: RNAcentral
AGAAUCAACGCUGGCGGCGUGCCUAACACAUGCAAGUCGAGCGCGAAAGGGGAGCACUCCCCGAGUAGAGCGGCGAACGGGUGAGUAACGCGUGGGUAAAUCUACCUCCGAGUGGGGAGCAACAGCGGGAAACUGCUGCUAAUACCGCAUGGACAUCGUCGAGCCUUCGGGUCUGACGAUCAAAGCCGGGGACGCAAGGCCUGGCGCUUGGAGAGGAGCCCGCGUCCGAUUAGCUAGUUGGCGGGGUAAUGGCCCACCAAGGCUCCGAAU